AUUUUGUUUUGACCUAUGUACCGGGCCCGGUCAGAACUAAGUUGAUGUGUUCAAUUAAGUUCUUUGUCAAACAAAUCGGAAAUCGGGAAACAAACUGCUGGACAAUAAGUAAGACAUUGUUCCAUGUAUUUGUCCGGCUGAUAUCUAGAACAGAGGAUUAUAUGAUCACUUAUCUUAAAUGGCGUAUCAACAUCUUAUUAGUUUCGAGAGACCUUGAAAGAGUUGCGAUUUCUGGUCGGUUCCUGAAGUACUAGAGUUAUAGUUAUUAGACUUAUCCAAGUGGGAGACUGUUGGAUAAGGUGUCUAAGUCCAUAACUAUUUCGGGCUUGUACUUGACCCGACCCGGCAUGGUCCAUUUGGGUUGCAUGGCACCAUGCAAUUGGAUAGACUAAAUGAGAGAAAUAACACUUGGAGAUUAUUAAUAUAUUAUAAGUUCUAAUAUAUUAAUAAUAUUAUUUGAUUAGUUGAUCAAAGAAUUNGAAUUAAUUAAGUGAUCAAAAGAUAACUAAUUAAAUUUAUGGGUUGAUUAUGUAAAUCAUUCAUAUCUUGUAUAGUGGGCUAAGAGGCUCCAUGGAUUAUCAAGUUGGGUUCCACCCAUAGAAUGCUCCAUGGAUGCUCCAUGGGAGUUACAAACCCAUGGGUCAUGGACAUGAAGAGUCAUGACACAUUAGUGUUUACAUGGUGUAACCCUAGAUGUGUCAACACUAUAUAAGAAUCCCAUUCUCCACCAAAAUCGGCUACACAUAUGAAACAAGAGGGCUAGGCCGAUUUCAAGAAGUGUGUAUUCUCUCAAAAGUCUUUCCAAGAGCAUUUGGUGUUGUGUGAAGCAUUUGAGGCAUCACACUUGGGGUGCUAGGCUCACAAGUUUUCAAGGAACAUAAGCAACAACAAGGUAAGGUAUUUUAUCUUUCAUUCAAGUUAAAAUUAUUCCCCAUGUAUGCUAGAUAGGAAUAUAACCAUGGAAUUCAACUUUUGAUGAUAAUUAGACAAACAUAGAUCCAAGGUUAUUAGGGUUGCAUGUACACUUAGGAAGUGUUAGAAUGCUCAAAACCCAUCAGUUCAAACUUGACUUUAUGGAUCAUGUAUUAGGGGUUCUAGUUGGCUAUCACUCCAGUGCCAUGGAGCAAGACACGAGACAUUUCCUUUUGUGUGUUCUCUCUGAUUUGCCAAGGACUACAGUACGAGUGUAGGUCGUGGAUAUGGAUCAUUUGAGGUAGGGGCAUCAACUCUAUCAUGUAUCAUGUUGGUUCGAGACACGUCUUGAUAUUCUUAUGUUCUCCGACAUGCGACCCUGCAUGGUGUGGGUGUAGGGUUGUGUAACGCCCGUAGAUCCGGGCUAGUUAAUUCAGAGACGAUAAGCAUCAAAAAUGACUUUUUGAUGGAAGAUUAUUUAGAAGGAUUAAUCUUAACUAAGUUGUAGUAUAUGUUACAAAUAUUCCAUACAUAUAAAGAACGCCGAAAUCUGAGUUAUAACGAAGAAGUUAUGACCUGUCCAAGUUUUGCAAUAGAACUGGCACGACACAACACGACGUAAAUAGUGAAUUUAUGUUAGAGCAAUAUUUGGCCUUAGCAAUCUAAAUCAAAGUCAUAGAAUAUGUUAAACCGAGAGCGUGCAUAAAAAAAACAUCCAAGUCUGACUUCGUAUGAGGAAGUGCUGAUUUUUCUAAGUUUCAGCUUAGCAGUAUGCAGCCCGAAGUUCGAAUAUGAGAUCGAGUGAUUUCUAGCCGAAACGAUCUAACGAAAAUCGAAGAUCUCAUCUAUAGUAUCCCAACGGUGGAAAGACAGACAAAAACAGAUGUCCUAUGAAGAAGAUAUGGUUUUCUAACGGAGUUUUCCUGUCCCGGUCUACUAAAAUAAUAUAAUAAAAGUAAAAUUCAAAAUUAGCAGACGAAGUCUAAACGAGAGUCCUAGAGCAUAAUCUCACCUACGCGUGCAUAUAAAAAACGUUGAAAACAGAGCUCGUAUGCGAGAGAUAUGAAUUUAUGAAGUUCGGAACGCAAACUUCGAGGCUGUGUUAGUGCUCACGAGGUGAGCUCAGUGCUCAUGACGUGAGCACAGACUGGACAACCUCCAGAACAAGUGGACGAAUGACGAAUGCAGUGACCUACUGAGCUCACGACGUGAGUACAGAAAAUGGCCCUAUAAAUAGAAGUUGAAGGCUAACCGAGUUUUGUUGCUCAAUUCCUUUCCUCUCUCCCGCAUUACAUCGUUUUACGAGCAAAGAAUUAACCUCGGAGCCCUGUUAUCAUCCCGAGACCCAAAGCGUGUCCGGAAGCUCCCGAGAAGAAAAGAGUUUCCGAGCCGAAGCUCUGCCCAUAAGAAACCCGGUGUGUGAAGAUAUUCAUGUUUCACAGGAGAAUACUACUCUUAGAGUCAUAGUGUCGUCCGAUCUUCUUCUGAUCAAGUGAGUGUAUAGUCCCUUUCAUAAACACGAUUUUAAUACAAGUAUUGUUUGAAUGUAUUACAUCUAUGUUAUGAGUGAGUGUGUAGUUACUUUCUUCUAACACGUAAAUAUGAAGUAUUUGCUAUGAAAUAUGUGCUGUGUGUUUAUAUAUCAUUUGUUUAUAUAAGAUGGGUGUGGAAUGGAUAUUAUAUAUAGUUUUUAAAUAAGUUAAACUGUAUAUGUAUUUUAUAUCUAAAAAUAUGUUGGGUAAAACAUGGGUAGAUGAACGUUGAGAGAUGAAAGAUGGUAUGAGUAAACAUCGAUAAUUAUGGACCUAGCACCUGUUAGAGAAGAACUUUGAUAGCUACGGAUUAAGGUAUAGUUAAUUGUCCCUAUUCCGGGAGUAUGGAUUCGAUCAGGAUUUAGCUAUAAUUAAUUGUCUCUAUUCCGGGAGUAUGGAUUGGGCAUAGUUAGUGAUCCAGGAGUAUGGAUCAGAUCAAGAGGUUAAUUUAGAUUCGGGAGUAUGGAUCAGAUAUACCAGAUCCGGGAGUAUGGAUUUGGUAGAGAGGUUAGUUUUAGACCCAUGAGUAUGGAUUUGGUAGAGAGGUUAGUUGUAGAUCCGUGAGUAUGGAUUAGGUAAAGAGGUAAAUUGUGAUACAAGAGUACGGAUUGUUUCGUUGUAAGGAUCAACAGGGUGGGAUAAGUGUUGCUUGUUUAUAGUGAAAUUGUACAUGUUUGUGAGUUCUAAUAUAUAUAUAUGAUAUAACAUUGUGGGUUGAAAACCCUAUAUGCUCACCAGGCUCCCAGCUCUGANAUAUAUAUAUAUAUAUAUACAUACAACAUUGUUGGUUGAAAACCCUAUAUGCUCACCAGGCUCCCAAGCGUGACCCACUCAGUUUUCUUUGUAUUAUAGGUAAUGGCACAAGAGUAUAAGCUGGUGGGCUUGACGAGAGAUUUUGGAUAAUAGACUAGUAGUUGUAAAUAACUGUUGUAAGGUCGAAUUGUAUUGCUUAUGCUUUUGGUCUGUAUCGGAACAUGACAUCCCGUUGUUUUAUUUUUUAAUGAAAAUACAUUCUCUUUGAGAAAUGUUUUGAUAAAUUUUAUCAUAUUUUGUUUUGGGAACAAAUUUUGCAGCUCUUUUAAUCAAAGGAUUACUCUGAUUUUAUAAAACAAAGCAUAAACAAAUCGGUCUUUUCUGGACGUGAAUUUGGGGAUGUCACAGUUUGUAUUAGAGCGUUAUUUUAAGCGAACUAGGAAUUUGUAGGAUUUCUAGACUUAAACUUAGAAUGUUAAGCAAUGAUGGUGAGAUGAGUGUCAACCAUAUUUUAGAUACGAGCGCUAGUAUAAUUUAGGAAAGAUGCUUAAAAUGCUUUUAUGUGCUAAAUGCUAUAUGUUUGUCAUAUAUUGAAUUGUUUGUUCGGAUCUAUGGUUUGUUGCUGACCGGAUCUCUAAACCUUAUGUGUUUAGGAUUCUUAGUGUACGACUACGAUAUUAGAACUAGCAUGUAAACGUUUCGGAGUGAUAAGGAUGAUUUGAACAUCUAUCAAAAUAGAGAUCUAAAUCCACCUUAUUCGGUGUAUAGAUAAAAAAAAUGGCAAGAACAAGAAGCAGAGUUGGAAACGAAAACGAAAAAAAGAAUCGACCACCUAUGGUUGAGCAAGUAGUUGUGGUAGCAGCAGUACCUGAGCCAAUGAAAAUGGCUGGCGUACAAGAGAUGAUUCAAAUAAUGUUGGAUCGUCAGAUGGAGGAAACUAAACGUCUGCUUCAUCAGAAUCGUGAAGAACUUUCAAUGCCGAUUGAACAGCCCGAAUUGAAUGAAGGGCAGUCGGAAUGAGGAAACUUCAAUGGGAUUUUUGGUCAAGCCAACCCAUCAAUUGUUAGGCAGAACAACCUGUUGGAUUAAUGUCUAAGUCCAUAACUAUAAUUGGUAAGACUUGACCCAACCCGGCAUGGUCCAUUUGGGUUGCAUGGCAUCAUGCACUUGGAUAGACUAUAAUGAGAGAAAUAAGACACUUAUGGUUAUUAAUAUAUUAUAAGUUCUAGUAUAUUAAUAAUACGAAUAAUAAGAUUAUUUAAUUAGUAUUGAUCAAGAAUUAAUCUAGGAUUAAUUAAGUGAUCAAAAGAAGACUAAUUAAAUACAUGGGUUGAUUGUGUAAAUCAUCCAUACUUGUAUAGUGGGCUAAUGCUCCAUGGAUAAUCAAGUUGGGCUAAAACCCAUAGGAUGGUCCAUGGAUGCUC
RNAcentral lists this long non-coding RNA (4621 nucleotides) under Lactuca sativa (garden lettuce). Its description in RNAcentral is "long non-coding RNA (LSAT_LNC010118)". Lineage: Eukaryota; Viridiplantae; Streptophyta; Magnoliopsida; Asterales; Asteraceae. The record is from RNAcentral.